CAAUCCAAUAAGCAAAACAUACUACUUUCAAAGCAACUUACUUUCAAAUUAGGUAAAUUACUACACUUAAAGAAAAAUUAUCCGUCUCAGAAGAAAUGUUACCAAUUGUCAUUUUCAAGAACUUGCGGCGACGUCAAUGGCGGCAUCUUUCAUGCGCUUCUCCUCGGAUCAUCUUCAUCCCAUCUCUCGAGCUCGUGGAUUGGCGAUCUUAUCUAAGGCCUUAAUGUCAUAGUCAUGGGAACUUUUUGCUGGAACUUGCAAGGCAUACUGUAGUCCGUCGCUCUUUGGAAGCAGCAUGGGGAAACAUGACAGCGCUACCAAACAGGAGGCCAGGGAUUAGCAGAUGAUGGGGUUGCUAAGGUGAAUUUUCUCCUUGUUAUCACUUUCUUAUAUUAUUUCAAAAGCUAUACUUGGAAGUGAUCAUUGGACUAGCCAUACCACGAAGAACUAAUAAACAAUCAGAACUUGAUCCUGCUAAUUUAUCAGAUGAUGUUAAUGACCCUUUGUAAUGGAGCCAUGUGGGAAUAUAUUGAGUUAUGUUAAUUGUAAAAGGGAGAGAAAUUUUCCGCAAUAUUGAAUUAGAGUUUAAAAGGCUUGUGUGUGGAGUCCUCACAUUGAAAUGCUGAAAUAGCCAUUUUAAUCUUCUCUCAGCUAGUUUACUGACGGAUGUUAGUAUGCUUAUGUCACUGUGUUUUCAUUUCAUUGUAAAAGCAGGGCAAUCGAUUCUUUUUUCUGUAAUUUCUAAAUCAUGGUGCACUGCAAGAAAUCACUACUAAAAUGAACUUUCAUUCUUUUUUAGGCUGGUCUUGUAACUACUCUUAGCAUAAAAACAAUCACAUUUGGUGAUACUUUUUUUCUCUUUUUUUUGGUCAGAUGAAGCCUUACUUGAAUUGUGUUUCCCUAUAUUUCGUUGUUCUGCAUCACGGUUUUAGACUGCAAGUUGCGGUCAUAAGAUGAAAAAUGCGAAAUUCUGUUUCACAUAAGAUUGGACAAGCUAAUCACACAAUCUCUCUACAUCAGAGAAAGAAUGAGAUCUUACUUUACCAAUAAAUGGCACUUUUAAAGGUUUGCCAACUGAGACAGUAAUUCCAUUGCUGGAAUUGCUAUUGCUGUUGUCAUGAUUAUUUUAGCUCUAUCUGUCAAUAUGACACUCGCCAGUGCUUAUGACAGAUUUGAUGUAGUUCUAGUGCUUUGAUACAAAUUAUCCCGAAUGGAAUACAGUUGUUUCUUGUUGCAUUCUUAGUGAGGUGAGUCAUCAAAUUAACUAAUUCAUUAUUUUUUUUCAGUGUAAUUGAACUGACAGAAAAUUUUUGUGUAGCUAAUAAAUAGGGAUUAGUCAACUAAAGUUGGUUGUGAUGAAAAUCUAGCAAAUAUUUAGCUAUAUGAAAUGUUGAGGUAGUAAAUUAUUUUGGAUUGGACGUAGAUCUAUACAUAAUCUCAAAAUAAUGGCUAACAAUAAGAAGGUUUGUUUCAAUACAACUCCAGAACCUGGUCAACAAUCUUGUUCAGGAAGUUUAAGUAGCCCAGUGUAAUUUCUGGGUCACUGAGAAAUAUUUGAGCUAACUCAGGACAGUGGAGGAGGGCAAUAUCUGUGUUCAGAUGGGUUUCUUUAGCAUUCUUCUCUUACCAUUCCAAAAUGGGUAGCAUGGCGCAUUUAAUUUUCUCAUUAAAUGGUUCUUGGUUAGUUCAAAGUAGAAGAACAUUAGCAACAUCCUUUCUGGAAUUAUUGGUUGAAGCAUGAUAUUUGCCUAUUUGUGCUGUAGAAAGGCUAAUAUUGAUGACAAAGCUUGAAAUUGGAUGCAUUCCUAUAUGAGCUUCGUAGGCAUCUAUUUCAUACUGGGGCAAGUAUCCUAGUCUUUCAAGUUGCUCUGGGGAGCUGCCUGAGUUCUGGCUUCUGGGUCUAUUUUGACUAUCGGUAAACCAUGACUUAUAUUUUCAUAAAUAUAACUUACAUCCAAGGUCCUGGAGAGGCUUCUGAAAUUCAAAAUUCCCUAUUCCACUUCUUAACUUAGACAUUCUGGUCGCCAUACUCCAGGAUUGAGGCACCAUAAGUUAUUGGGGCAAAUAGCCAGUCUUUCAAGUUGCUCCAGGUGAGCUGACUGAGUUCUGGCAUCUGGGUCUAUCUAGAUCAUCAGUAAACCAUGAUUUGUAUUGGCAUAGAUAUAACUUACGUCUGAGGUCCUGAGAGGCUUCUGAAAUUCGAGAAGAUUAUACUUUAUACUUCAGCCAUCUAUUAUGUGCGUCGUGAAAUCAGCUAGAACAUGACUACUGAUCUUUCUAUUCUCCAAUGAUUCUAUUAAAGCAUGUGGUUUUUACAUGUAAUUUGUUCUCAUCGACACAACUUUUCCUUGGAAAAAUAUUGCUGCAUUGGAUAUGUGCAUUUCCUGUAGGUACAUUCUCUUUGUAAAGGAUGUUUUAGAAUGGUCCUUACUAAGGAGGCUGAAAAAAUUCAUCAAGCUAUUGUCAACCUCAGUGUACUUCUGCUACUCAGAAUGCAGCAAGGACAACUGUGCGCAUUUUGGAAAGUUUGAUUCACCCAGCUGAAAGUAUGAUACCAUCAAUGUUUGGCCAUGUUCUUAGAGUAUAUACUAUUGUUUGCCGCUAAAAAAUGUUUCAAUGCCAAUUAU
This is a long non-coding RNA of Eucalyptus grandis, 2627 nucleotides long. RefSeq lists it as uncharacterized. NCBI's taxonomy places the organism in Eukaryota, Viridiplantae, Streptophyta, Magnoliopsida, Myrtales, Myrtaceae. The record is from RefSeq and is a predicted model, not a curated record. The transcript is spliced from 4 exons.